UGGUGAACAGGUGGUGCAUGGUUGUCGUCAGCUCGUGUCGUGAGAUGUUGGGUUAAGUCCCGCAACGAGCGCAACCCUCCUUCUAUGUUGCCAGCAGGUUAUCGGGGGGACUCACGGGAGACUGCCGGGGUCAACUCGGAGGAAGGUGGGGAUGACGUCAAAUCAUCAUGCCCCUUAUGUCCGGGGCUUCACACAUGUUACAAUGGCCGGUACACAGGGGUGCGAUACCGCGAGGUGGAGCGAAUCCCAAAAAGCCGGUCCCAGUUCGGAUUGGGGUUUGCAACUCGACCUCAUGAAGUGGGAGUCGCUAGUAAUCGCAGAUCAGCAACGCUGCGGUGAAUACGUUCCCGGGCCUUGUACACACCGCCCGUCAAGUCAUGAAAGUCGGUAACACCUGAAGCCGGUGGCCUAACC
Molecule: ribosomal RNA, 414 nt
Filed under: Microbacterium aquimaris
Lineage: Bacteria; Bacillati; Actinomycetota; Actinomycetes; Micrococcales; Microbacteriaceae
Description: bacterial SSU rRNA
Rfam family: Bacterial small subunit ribosomal RNA
Source: RNAcentral